GACGAACGCUGGCGGCGUGCUUAACACAUGCAAGUCGAACGGAAAGGCCCUGCUUGCAAGGUACUCGAGUGGCGAACGGGUGAGUAACACGUGGGUGAUCUGCCCUGCACUUCGGGAUAAGCCUGGGAAACUGGGUCUAAUACCGGAUAGGAGCCAUUUUUAGUGUGAUGGUUGGAAAGUUUUUUCGGUGUAGGAUGAGCUCGCGGCCUAUCAGCUUGUUGGUGGGGUAAUGGCCUACCAAGGCGGCGACGGGUAGCCGGCCUGAGAGGGUGGACGGCCACAUUGGGACUGAGAUACGGCCCAGACUCCUACGGGAGGCAGCAGUGGGGAAUAUUGCACAAUGGGCGCAAGCCUGAUGCAGCGACGCCGCGUGGGGGAUGACGGCCUUCGGGUUGUAAACUCCUUUCGCUAGGGACGAAGCUUUUUGUGACGGUACCUAGAUAAGAAGCACCGGCUAACUACGUG
Molecule: ribosomal RNA, 465 nt
Filed under: uncultured bacterium
Lineage: Bacteria
Description: partial 16S ribosomal RNA
Rfam family: Bacterial small subunit ribosomal RNA
Source: RNAcentral